Molecule: ribosomal RNA, 511 nt
Filed under: Tshurtshurnella zelleri
Lineage: Eukaryota; Metazoa; Arthropoda; Insecta; Hemiptera; Issidae
Description: partial large subunit ribosomal RNA
Rfam family: Bacterial large subunit ribosomal RNA
Source: RNAcentral
AAAACAUGUCCUUUAGUUUUUAUUUAAGGUCGGGCCUGCUCAAUGAAUAUUUAAAUAGCCGCAGUAUAUUGACUGUGCUAAGGUAGCAUAAUAAUUAGUCCUUUAAUUGAGGUCUGGAAUGAAUGGUUUGACGAGAAAAAUUCUUUAUUUGCUGGAUUUUUUUUGAAUUUAUUUUUUUGGUUAAAAUUCCAAAGUUUGGAAGAGGGACGAUAAGACCCCAUAGAUCUUUAUAAUUUUAUUUACAUUGAUUUUUUUGUUGUUUUUUUUUAAUGUAAAUUUAUUUGUUUUACUGGGGCGGUGGCUAAAAAAUUAAACUUUAGUUUAUUUUUACAUUUUUUUGUGGUUAUUUUGAUCUUUAAUUUUUGAUUGUAAGAACAAGAUACCUUGGGGAUAACAGCGUUAUUUAUUUGGAGAGUUCAAAUCGAUAGAUAAGUUUGCGACCUCGAUGUUGGAUUAAAAUUAAUUUAUGGGGUAGGUUUUAUAUAAUUAGGUCUGUUCGACCUUUAAAAUU